CAAAUACUCCCUCCAUCCAAAAAUACUUGUCAUCAAAAUGGAUAAAAGGAAAUGUAUCUAGACGUAUUUUAGUUUUAGAUAGAUCUAUUUUUAUCCAUUUUGAUGACAAGUAUUUUCGGACGGAGGGAGUAGAAA
Molecule: non-coding RNA, 135 nt
Organism: Triticum aestivum (bread wheat)
Lineage: Eukaryota; Viridiplantae; Streptophyta; Magnoliopsida; Poales; Poaceae
Source: Rfam